AGGUGAUAACGUGAACUAGUGUUUUAAGAAGCAAUUUUGUUCUUGGCUUUCUUCAACGGCUUUCGCCACCUUGGUCUCCCGAGUAUACUGGAAUUGCAGGUGCAGUAGCUGCUCAACUUGAAAGCUCAAUUCAAAGUCAGCUGUUGCAUCAGGAGAAUAGUCCAUCAACUUUCGUACAAAUGCAAUGGAAUUCUUGUGAUUACUGGAAGAGCUGGCCGAGAAAUUUUAUCAAAUGUGUUAUGCUGCCAAAAUUUGGCACUAUUGAAAAUGUCAACGGCCAUACCACGCUGACAACAUUAGUUCCCAUUCGAUCACUAAGUCAAGCAGCGCUGGGCACGGUUAGUACUUGGACGGAUGAACCCGCUUUUAGGAAUACCGUGUGCAACCAGAUCCAAGUAUGUGUCCGGUCCUAUGGGACCCCCAAGUCUAUUGGCUCACAAAGCCAUUUGCUCACUUCACCAAUCAUGUCCUGCUCAGGAAUAUAGGGCAAAUAUCCGCAGCCCAACUCUCCCCAAUAACACUUAUACCUCCAAACACGUGAGAUGUUUUCCCACCUCAUUUUCAAUAGCCCCAUUCGGAACAUGAGAUAUUUUUUAACGCCAUGCCGACACGUCCCCGCCGUGGCCGCUCGCACAUUACGAGCAACUCGGGCCAAGUGCGCGCGACAAUGUGCGGCCGCUGCGUAUAUGAGAAUGUGAAUGUUGUCUUCUAUCACAUCAGAGCCCAGGAAGCAUACCUCACAAGGGGGUUGGGGUGGUAUAGUAUCACGCCGCAACUCCGUAAGAAA
RNAcentral lists this long non-coding RNA (787 nucleotides) under Polistes fuscatus (common paper wasp). The record is from RNAcentral. Lineage: Eukaryota; Metazoa; Arthropoda; Insecta; Hymenoptera; Vespidae.